GAUGAACGCUGGCGGCGUGCCUAAUACAUGCAAGUCGAGCGAACGGACGAGAAGCUUGCUUCUCUGAUGUUAGCGGCGGACGGGUGAGUAACACGUGGAUAACCUACCUAUAAGACUGGGAUAACUUCGGGAAACCGGAGCUAAUACCGGAUAAUAUUUUGAACCGCAUGGUUCAAAAGUGAAAGACGGUCUUGCUGUCACUUAUAGAUGGAUCCGCGCUGCAUUAGCUAGUUGGUAAGGUAACGGCUUACCAAGGCAACGAUGCAUAGCCGACCUGAGAGGGUGAUCGGCCACACUGGAACUGAGACACGGUCCAGACUCCUACGGGAGGCAGCAGUAGGGAAUCUUCCGCAAUGGGCGAAAGCCUGACGGAGCAACGCCGCGUGAGUGAUGAAGGUCUUCGGAUCGUAAAACUCUGUUAUUAGGGAAGAACAUAUGUGUAAGUAACUGUGCACAUCUUGACGGUACCUAAUCAGAAAGCCACGGCUAACUACGUGCCAGCGGCCGCGGUAAUACGUAGGUGGCAAGCGUUAUCCGGAAUUAUUGGGCGUAAAGCGCGCGUAGGCGGUUUUUUAAGUCUGAUGUGAAAGCCCACGGCUCAACCGUGGAGGGUCAUUGGAAACUGGAAAACUUGAGUGCAGAAGAGGAAAGUGGAAUUCCAUGUGUAGCGGUGAAAUGCGCAGAGAUAUGGAGGAACACCAGUGGCGAAGGCGACUUUCUGGUCUGUAACUGACGCUGAUGUGCGAAAGCGUGGGGAUCAAACAGGAUUAGAUACCCUGGUAGUCCACGCCGUAAACGAUGAGUGCUAAGUGUUAGGGGGUUUCCGCCCCUUAGUGCUGCAGCUAACGCAUUAAGCACUCCGCCUGGGGAGUACGACCGCAAGGUUGAAACUCAAAGGAAUUGACGGGGACCCGCACAAGCGGUGGAGCAUGUGGUUUAAUUCGAAGCAACGCGAAGAACCUUACCAAAUCUUGACAUCCUUUGACAACUCUAGAGAUAGAGCCUUCCCCUUCGGGGGACAAAGUGACAGGUGGUGCAUGGUUGUCGUCAGCUCGUGUCGUGAGAUGUUGGGUUAAGUCCCGCAACGAGCGCAACCCUUAAGCUUAGUUGCCAUCAUUAAGUUGGGCACUCUAAGUUGACUGCCGGUGACAAACCGGAGGAAGGUGGGGAUGACGUCAAAUCAUCAUGCCCCUUAUGAUUUGGGCUACACACGUGCUACAAUGGACAAUACAAAGGGCAGCGAAACCGCGAGGUCAAGCAAAUCCCAUAAAGUUGUUCUCAGUUCGGAUUGUAGUCUGCAACUCGACUACAUGAAGCUGGAAUCGCUAGUAAUCGUAGAUCAGCAUGCUACGGUGAAUACGUUCCCGGGUCU
Molecule: ribosomal RNA, 1372 nt
Filed under: uncultured bacterium
Lineage: Bacteria
Description: bacterial SSU rRNA
Rfam family: Bacterial small subunit ribosomal RNA
Source: RNAcentral